GUGGAGGUGAUUUGGCUCUCACAGCUAUCGCCCCUUUGACGGACAGGGUUGAUUCAACUCAUCUCCCAGCUAGGUGGGUGGCCCCCCUCCCUCACCACUUUAGGCUCAGCUUCAUUUCUCUGAAGUUGAAAGAGAGUAAAUCUCUCCCAAGAUAGGAAGAUUGCUCUUCAACCAGCAGCAUAGGCAAGCUUAGAGAAUCUUUGGUAAAGUGGACACAUCCUAUUAGCGGAUAGAAAACAUGGUUUCUAUCAUCUUUUCCAA
This 261-nucleotide small RNA is filed under the name Ursus maritimus (polar bear). RNAcentral describes it as "7SK RNA (ENSUMAG00000009905.1)". The record is from RNAcentral. Lineage: Eukaryota; Metazoa; Chordata; Mammalia; Carnivora; Ursidae.